Rattus norvegicus (Norway rat) is the source of this 2410-nucleotide non-coding RNA. Lineage: Eukaryota; Metazoa; Chordata; Mammalia; Rodentia; Muridae. The record is from RefSeq and is a predicted model, not a curated record.
GGCAAUCUUUAAAAUGAGGUUGGGAUGAGUCACUUUCCCUUCUGAUUUCUAAAUGCCAAGAGAUCUGAGUUACUUCUUCAAGUCACAGCUAUGAAUAUCCUCUGGCUAAGCCUGUGUACUGGCUUUGUCUAACCUGGCUUGGAGUGUGUGUUUGUGUGUGUGUGUGUGUGUGUGUGUGUGUGUGUGUGUGUGUGUGUGUGUGUUUUGUUGCUGUUAUUGUUGUUGUUUUUGUUUUGUUGUUUCUUGUCUAUUCCGUAGCAUAUAAGGAAUUUGCAUGUCAUUCUUGUUUAGGGGCCGUUCUAACUAUUGCCGUUCUAACUAUCACUGUUGCUCCUGUUUUAGUGUUAAGUGUUGAAGUGCUGCUGAAGGAGUGCAGGGUGCUUGAAAAACUUAGUAACGACAACAACAGCAACAGCAACAGUAGCAACAACAACAAAGCAAGCACUGUUUCCACAGACAUGGACUAGGAACAUUGUUCUGAGUGGUAAGCCAUGCUCCUAUCUCUCUAUGGAAGUCAGGAGUCCUUCUUCCGGAGGGUAGCUCUAGUAAUUACUCCUCCUCUUCCUCCAACCCCUACCCUUUUCCUCAGGCUGCUGGCCCAGCUUCCCCAAGUCCAGCCUGAGCCUCCCUGGGCUACUUUAGACUUGGCACCAGAGAAUGGAGGUUUUUCAGAGAACUACUUGACAAGAUUCAAGAAGCACUUACAGUCUUAGAAGCCAGGGGUAUGUCUGUGCACCACACAUAUGCCUGGUGCUUUUGGAGGCCAAAAAAAGGGCAACAGAUCGCUUGGAAUGGGAGCUCCAGGUGGUUGUGAGCUGCCCUGUGAGUUCUAGGAACAGAACCCAGGUCCUCUGGGAGAGCAGCAAGUACUCUGAGUCACAGAGCUGUCUAUCCAUCCCCCUCGAUCUCAUCUUCACUAAGUGGGAAAUCACACUGAAGUUCAAUUAUCCUUCUUUAUCGGUGCCCCACCCCUGACACGUGGAGGCAUUUUAUUUAUAAGUAUGUUUGCUUCACCAUGGCCUGUGAUGCUCCCCGGAAUUGUCAGCAAAAUGAAACCAAGUGACGGGUUUGAGCUGCAUGUUCAGUCUGGGGCUGAUUGCUCCACACUCGUGAUCACUGGCUGCCUGUGAGGUCCAGGACCAUCUUCCCAGCUCUGUAGUCCCCAGUGAUUUCAAACUCCUUAAUGUAACCACGUUCCCUCACCACAGACUAUGACUUUGGAAUUCAAUAAGAACCUGGCACAUGCCUUGUUGCUAUUCUCGAGGGCAUCAGCCAGGACAUUGACAUGCGCCAUUUUGGUGGUAUAGAAAGAUGGUAGAGAUAUAUAUGCCUUUGAUAUAAAGCUGCCUGUAUAUCAAAAUCAAUGUUUUUAUUUUGCUAGAGUUUUUCAUCAGGUAUUUUUCAUAUAUCUUGAUCUAGCAUCUAUAAACAUAAUAUUAAUAUAAACUGAAAUUAUUUUGUUAUUAACUUAUUUUAGUCACAUGUUAAUGGGAUUGAUGUGAUAUUUCCACACAUAUGAGAUGGAUUGAUUAUGUCCAAAUGCCCCUUUCCCCGCCACGCUCUACAUUAAUAUUAAUGCUGGAUGGAUUCUAUCCAUACCCAAUGGAAGUAACUUAGUAUCUUAAAUGAAAUAGAAAUGUCUCAAAUGUGGCACCUUCCUCUUCACUACUAUAACCUACCAAGAUCAAGAUGACGAUCAUAUGUCUGUUCUUAAGCAGCUCUACCCGAGGGACCCCCCUAACCUUCCCCAGGCUUCAGAGAAGGAGUGUUUCCCCAGUUUGAAGCAAGAGUAGAGACUGGGAAGCCCAGAUCUUUCCACAGCAGAAAUUAUCUCUAUAAUAAGACCAAAAUGGUACAAGUUGCAUGGGGCUAUGGGAACAAAGCACCCUUUACGUGCAAACCAUACUGACACCAUGAGUUCCCUUUCUUCUGCCCUCCAGCCCUUUUCAUCCUCCUGUCUUUCUCAAUAAGAAAGCCUGAAUCCUGGCGUGUGCUCACGCAAAUCUAAGGCUAGCUUCCUUGUGGUGGGUUUGGCUGUGCGACUGGUGACAGGAAAUCGGGCAGAGAUCUGGGUAUGACUUCCGGGUUUUUCCUAAUGAGAGGCUCUUUGCCACCUUCUCAUGUGUUUUCCUCCUCUUAGGCUGGAGGGUGGGUGUCCUGGUGAGCUCUCUCUAUAGGGUGGACUGAGGUAACUCCUUAGCAAAGGGUAGAGCGACCGGGGGAAAGGGUGAGCAUCACCCCGUGACCUUCUAUAAGCUGCAGACCGUUUUCCUCCGUUGUUAGUAAAUUGCUCUGUGGUUGACCGUUGUGUUUUAAAAUCUUGUACUACCAUUGUCAAGCUUGCAGACUACCCCGUGCUUACCUUACUGUCUGCUAAACGGAAACGCUGGACAGAUAACUCACCAGCCGU